Molecule: ribosomal RNA, 104 nt
Filed under: Cavia porcellus (domestic guinea pig)
Lineage: Eukaryota; Metazoa; Chordata; Mammalia; Rodentia; Caviidae
Source: RNAcentral
GUCUACGGCCAUACCACCCUGAACGCACCCGAUCUCGUCUGAUCUUGGAAGCUAAGCAGGAUCAGGAGACAAAUCAAAAAUAGGAUGCCUGUUUCCGGGAGAAC